Molecule: ribosomal RNA, 1221 nt
Filed under: uncultured organism
Description: bacterial SSU rRNA
Rfam family: Bacterial small subunit ribosomal RNA
Source: RNAcentral
UCGCUUUGGGAGGAGCUCGCUUACUAUCAGCUUGUUGGUAGGGUAAUGGCCUACCAAGGCUAUGACGGUUAGGGGGUGUGAGAGCAUGACCCCCAGCAUUGGCACUGAAACACUGGCCAAACACCUACGGGUGGCUGCAGUCGAGAAUCUUCCACAAUGGGGGAAACCCUGAUGGAGCGAUGCUGCGUGCGGGAUGAAGGCCUUCGGGUUGUAAACCGCUUUUGUAGGGGACGAAAUUUUUGACGGUACCCUUUCGAAUAAGAGGUUGCUAACUCUGUGCCAGCAGCAGCGGUAAUACAGAGACCUCAAGCGUUAUCCGGAUUUACUGGGCGUAAAGCGUCUGUAGGGGGUUUAUUAAGUUCCAAGUAAAAUUUCAAGGCUCAACUUUGAAUUCGCUUGGAAAACUAAUAAACUGGAGUCUAGCAGAGGUGCAUGGAACUUGUGGUGUAGGAGUGAAAUCCGUUGAUAUCACAAGGAACACCAAAGGCGAAGGCAUUGCACUGGGCUAGCACUGACCCUGAGAGACGAAAGCGUGGGGAGCAAAACGGAUUAGAUACCCGUGUAGUCCACGCCCUAAACGAUGAAUGCUAAAUGUUCGGGGAUUCGACCCCCUGGGUGUUACAGCUAACGCGUUAAGCAUUCCGCCUGGGAAGUACGGCCGCAAGGCUAAAACUCAAAGGAAUAGACGGGGAUCCGCACAAGCGGUGGAGCGUCUGGUUUAAUUCGACAGUAAGCGUGGUACCUCACCAGGGUUUGACAUCCCUUGACAGCCUUGGAAACAAGGUUUCCUUCGGGCAAGGUGACAGGUGCUGCAUGGUCGUCGUCAGUUCGUGCCGUGAGGUGUUCCGUUAAGUCGGGAAACGAACGAAACCCCUAUUGCAUGUUACAAUUUCUCAUGCAAGACUGCCCGGAUAUACUGGGAGGAAGGUGGGGAUGACGUCAGAUCUGCAUGGUCCUUAUACCCUGGGCGACACAGGCGCUACAAUGGCAGAGACAAAGGGUUGCAAAACCGCAAGGUGAAGCUAAUCCCAAAAACUUUGUCUAAGUUCGGAUUGAAGGCUGCAAUUCGCCUUCAUGAAGCUGGAAUCGCUAGUAAUCGUGAAUCAGCCACGUCACGGUGAAUAUGUUCCCGGAUCUUGUACUCACCGCCCGUCACACCAAGAGAGUUGGUAGCUCCCGAAGCGUCCCGUUUUAGCGGGGCAUCACGGAGAGAUCAGCGAU